RNAcentral lists this small RNA (100 nucleotides) under Pongo abelii (Sumatran orangutan). RNAcentral describes it as "processed transcript". Lineage: Eukaryota; Metazoa; Chordata; Mammalia; Primates; Hominidae. The record is from RNAcentral.
CCGAGAAGUUGAAGACACUAACAGAAGGUUUGGAAGCCUACAGCCGUGUCCGGAAAAGGAACAGAAAGGGUGUGGACUUAAAAGUAAGUUUUCUUUGGAA